GCCGGGUGUGGUGGUGCAUGCCUGUAAUCACAGUGACUCUUGAGGCUGAGGCAGGAGGAAUCCUGAUUUCAAAGUCAGCCUGAGCAAAAGCGAGGUAAGCAACUCAGUGUGACCCUGUCUCUA
This 123-nucleotide small RNA is filed under the name Marmota monax (woodchuck). Lineage: Eukaryota; Metazoa; Chordata; Mammalia; Rodentia; Sciuridae. The record is from RNAcentral.